Molecule: transfer RNA, 57 nt
Filed under: Bombus lantschouensis
Lineage: Eukaryota; Metazoa; Arthropoda; Insecta; Hymenoptera; Apidae
Description: tRNA-Ser
Source: RNAcentral
GAAAUAAAUUAAUAAAGCUUCUAACUUUAAUUUAGAUAUUAAAUUAUCAUUAUUUCU